UACGUAGGGUCCAAGCGUUAUCCGGAAUUACUGGGCGUAAAGAGUGCGUAGGCGGCGCUCUAAGUUCGGUGUGAAAUCUCUCGGCUUAACUGGGAGGGUGCGCCGGAAACUGGAGUGCUCGAACGUGGGAGAGGAAAGCGGAAUUCCUGGUGUAGCGGUGAAAUGCGUAGAUAUCAGGAGGAACACCUGCGGUGUAGACGGCUUUCUGGACCAUUGUUGACGCUGAGACACGAAAGCGUGGGUAGCAAACAGG
This 253-nucleotide ribosomal RNA is filed under the name uncultured bacterium. RNAcentral describes it as "partial 16S ribosomal RNA". It matches the Rfam family "Bacterial small subunit ribosomal RNA", at positions 524 to 776 of the family's 1533-position model. The record is from RNAcentral.